AGUGCAGUCAUCAUUUCCAAUCCGAGCAGGCCAGCGUCAAGUUCAGGUGGUCGUCUAAUACGUCCACAACUUGCCUGUGAACAACGACAUUGAGGAAACUAAGAGAGGUCGGACAAAUGUGUAAUGUUGGGCUCCUUCCAGUCUUCUUGGGAUCAUCUUCGAGUCCGGUUUUGGAGGGUUUCGCUCACUGGUGUCCCAUCAGACAACGAUGCGGAAGGUUCAUAGAUGCAGCUUUUCAAAACUAUCAGCUAAACCUGUAUAAGACUGACCUUCUACUGAUCCCAAACUAGGGCCAACUCCGUCACAUUGUCAACCCCAAUUAGGCAUCUGCCCCAAACAAGGUGAUCUUACUGAGUCAUUGUCCCUCAAUAGUGUAGCAAGCGAUCCGAGGCUAAAGUACUAGACCCAUAUCUUUAUGUUUGUAUGUCCAUCCAUUAUCUUUAUUGCUAUUGUUUUGCUUUUGGUAAGUAAUUUAUUGAUGCAGUCAUGCACUACUCAGAGAUGGCAUUUUUUGAUUC
Long non-coding RNA from Engraulis encrasicolus (European anchovy), 518 nucleotides. RefSeq lists it as uncharacterized. Lineage: Eukaryota; Metazoa; Chordata; Actinopteri; Clupeiformes; Engraulidae. The transcript is spliced from 3 exons. The record is from RefSeq and is a predicted model, not a curated record.